Cyprinus carpio carpio is the source of this 1232-nucleotide long non-coding RNA. NCBI's taxonomy places the organism in Eukaryota, Metazoa, Chordata, Actinopteri, Cypriniformes, Cyprinidae. The record is from Ensembl.
UAUACACUCUAAAAACGGCUGGGUUGUUUUUUAACCCAAAAUGCUGGGUUGAGUCUGUUGGGUCAUUUUGUUGGGUUAUUUUAUUACUUUUUAAACACUUUUGGGUAGUUUCGAUUUACCAGGUGUUGAGUUAAACCUGCUGGGUUGUAACGCUGGGUUGUUUCAGGCCAGCGCUGGGUUAUUUAACGCGCCUUGACGAUGUUUAAAUCGCACCGGUAACUGUCAUUUUGGAAGGACAAAGGGGCGAAGCCACUGGUUUCAACUGUUUUAAGAUGAAGAAAUUGAUGAGGAAGGUUUCAUGCUACUCGAUGACCGUACAAUCACAAGCCUCAUACCAAAAAUCGGACUUCGUGUCAAGUUCCUAAAGUACCACGAAGAGCUAAUAAAGAAACAUGGGGUUGAAAAUGCCACUCCUUCAGCUGUUCACAUAACUGACACAGAAGAAGCCACUGUUGCAGCAGGAGAUAUUGCAGAAGAGCUGACAAUUACACCAAUGCCAUUCAUUCAAAUAAUACCAAUUUUUAAUAUUAAAGAGAUUCUCAUGGCCUCCCAUGAGGGGAGAUGGAUUUCAGCAGCUUUAGAGAAGGAAAAAAGCAUCACAAUUAAACAGAGACGUGCACUGGUGCGAAUCCUGGUGGCCUUUUUAAUUGAAAAGUUUGGCGAAAUGCCAACUUCUGACACCAAGAAGGCUAUGGCAAUGGCGUUAAUUGAAGAGUUUCCCUGCCUUAAAGACAUCAGAGGCAAUGGCUAUGAGGCAUUUUACACACCAGGCCGGAACCACCGUCCAGCCACAGGCUUCAUUGAGGAGCGCUUACGAAACAUCAGAAAGAGAAUGAGAAAACUUUCCAGACCUCAAAGACAUGAAGAGGACACAUCACAUAGGAUGGUAAUCCCUGAACCUACUAUUCCAACGGAGAGAGCCCAAAGUCUUGUGAACUGGCUGAAAAAUAACCAUGCACCUAUUAACCAAGUGGUAGAAAAUAUGAAGGAGACAGCCUUAUAUCGGGCUAAGUGGAUCCGACAGAAUGGGACAAAGAGCAUCACAGAGGUUCUCCAUGAGUUCCCGCAUCUCUUGAACACACCUGGCAUGAUUUCCCAAGACUUUGAUCAGGUCCAUGGAGAAACUGGACUGAAGCUUUUUGAAUCGUGGGCCAAUUUCUUUGCUGACAGAAUUCUAAGGAUUGCGAUUAAGGAAGAAAAACUGAAUAAGACUUGGGAGAACAUUCCACAAG